This is a long non-coding RNA of Brienomyrus brachyistius, 278 nucleotides long. RefSeq lists it as uncharacterized. NCBI's taxonomy places the organism in Eukaryota, Metazoa, Chordata, Actinopteri, Osteoglossiformes, Mormyridae. The transcript has 3 exons. The record is from RefSeq and is a predicted model, not a curated record.
CAGGGAGCACAUAACUGGGAGGCACUUUAUAACACCACUGAUGAAGAAGCAAAUGAGAGGCAGCAGGAGGGAUCCACACAAGGGCUGAAACGAGAGACUCACUUAGUCACCAGAGGUGGACUGUUCAGGUCCAGAAAAGUUGACAUCCAGACCAAGAUUUCGUUUCAACCAACCAGCUCUGCCAGUCACAAAGAACUGCACCAUGUCCUUGGGGUAGUCAGAGCGUCCUGUCUCCAUGAAUGGUAAAGCAGCAGGAACUCGAGCUAGCGGCCACAGAG